GCACCGCUAGCUCAGCUGGAUAGAGCAUCGCGCUUCGAACGCGAAGGUCGCAGGUUCGAAUCCUGCGCGGUGCG
Molecule: transfer RNA, 74 nt
Filed under: Phycisphaerae bacterium
Lineage: Bacteria; Pseudomonadati; Planctomycetota; Phycisphaerae
Description: tRNA-Arg
Rfam family: tRNA
About the family: Transfer RNA (tRNA) molecules are approximately 80 nucleotides in length. Their secondary structure includes four short double-helical elements and three loops (D, anti-codon, and T loops). Further hydrogen bonds mediate the characteristic L-shaped molecular structure. tRNAs have two regions of fundamental functional importance: the anti-codon, which is responsible for specific mRNA codon recognition, and the 3' end, to which the tRNAs corresponding amino acid is attached (by aminoacyl-tRNA synthetases). tRNAs cope with the degeneracy of the genetic code in two manners: having more than one tRNA (with a specific anti-codon) for a particular amino acid; and 'wobble' base-pairing, i.e. permitting non-standard base-pairing at the 3rd anti-codon position.
Source: RNAcentral